AUGUUUGGUUCCAUAAAUGAGUGAACGCUGCGUUUACUGUUAUUAGGGCUUCAAUGUUUAUCCUCUUCCAGAGCUCAACCUCACUGUCUCCGCCUCAAAGCUAACGAUUCUCCUCCCAUCGCUUAACCUUUCAUACCGUUCAACGCAUUCCUUUUAAUUCACCAAUAAUUGCUAUUCAUAUGAAACUCAGACCUUUCCGUUUCUUUCAUGUCAAUCUCUAUUAUAUAAGAGAGGGUUGAGAGCAGGAUGGAUAUUCAUCUCCACUCCGCUAGCUCCGUAACCAACCUCUAAGCAUCUCUUCCGCACCUCUUCCGGCGUCCCAGAAUCCACCGCUCUGCUUCGGCCGGUGAGACCACAAACGAUCCGUGGAGGAUUACACCACUUCUCUUCAGAGAUGGCUCUCCGAUUCAGGCCUUUCCCCAGAAAAUAGCUAUCGAUAUAGUCGAAAUCGGAGAGAGUGGCGUCGCGUCUCAGAACCUAAGAAAAAAAGAGAAGCUUCUUUUAGUUCCUCCUUCUCACGUCAUCAGUGCUGAUUCCGUGUGGACCAGUGGUGAUGCUGGUGAAGUGAUGAAACAUUACAAUGAUGACAAACAGCGGUAGUCUAAUAUCUCCGGCGAUGAUUCUUUUGCUCGCCUCUACAGAGCUUUUGAGACCCAAAUCGAGACAGCUCUCGAGAAAGCUGAGAUUGUUACCAAGGAGAAGAACAGAGCUUCUGCUAUUGCAAUGAACGCUGAGAUCCGUCGCACCAAGGCUCGAUUGUCCGAGGAAGUCCCCAAGUUGCAGAGACUUGCUAUCAAGCGGUUAAAGAGCCUCACAACGGAAGAGCUUGCUGCGAGAAAAGGUUUGGUACUUGCGCUUCCGGCGAGGAUUGAAUCUAUACCUGAUGGGACAGCGGGUGGUCCUAAAAGCACUACCAGCUACUUUUGCAUCAAUUGAUAACGAUGAUGCUGCUGUUGAUGAUGAGGAAAAACCUUAACUUUACAUUUUACAAUGAAACAUAUCUCUUAUGCUUUCAAAUGGUACUUCCUUGGUGAACAUCCCCACCUUCGUUACCAACCAAAAGAAUAAUAACAAUUUUUUUUUUGUCCA
This is a long non-coding RNA of Raphanus sativus (radish), 1089 nucleotides long. RefSeq lists it as uncharacterized. NCBI's taxonomy places the organism in Eukaryota, Viridiplantae, Streptophyta, Magnoliopsida, Brassicales, Brassicaceae. The transcript has 4 exons. The record is from RefSeq and is a predicted model, not a curated record.